Long non-coding RNA from Halichondria panicea, 846 nucleotides. RefSeq lists it as uncharacterized. The transcript has 2 exons. The record is from RefSeq and is a predicted model, not a curated record. Lineage: Eukaryota; Metazoa; Porifera; Demospongiae; Suberitida; Halichondriidae.
UGUUAAACAGAUUCAGUGGUAGGCAGAAAACGUUUUUCAUGCGUCUGGUGCAUUCCACAGUCACCACAAGUAGUUGAAACUAGUUGUCCUAUAAAAGGAGUGAUGUGUACACGGAAAGGAAUGCACAAGGAAUGCAACAAAUCAGUUGUUACACAGCUCACUCGUGCGCACAUUGGAUAUAUUGGCUCAGUAGUGCACUUGCCCUCGAGGCUUGUGGCCCUCGGGCCUAAGUCACUACUGAGCCAUGUGGCACUCGUGCAUGUGUCACAACUAUAAUUGUUGCAUUUUGAGUGGGCAGAUCAAAGGAAACACUGUGCCAAUAUCUGCCACAUGGCACAGGUCAAGCCUUGAACUGUGCCAAUAUCACUCGUGCAUGUGUCACAACUAUAACAUAGAGGUCACUGUAGCCAGGUUUGAAUUCAAGUUUGUAUAGAGAUCUUGUCCAAAAGAGCUUAUACGUCAUGGGAUCAUGUGAGUCUCAACCAAGGCAAUGUUACCAGAGUUGCUCGUGUGGCGGAUGCCUAGGAUGUCUACUUUGUUGUUGUGGAUGUGGAUAUGGAUUUGGUAUGGCUCCUAAUUCUCCUAAUAGGAAACAAGUUUUGACAUCAAAAACCUCCACUGAUCCAUCCCUUCCCCCACACCCCCCAGUUAUUCAGAAGUUCUACUCGCCUACUCCUCCAACUCCUCCAAAUUAGCCUCCUCAAGAAAAGACAAGAAAACUGCUUAGAAUAGCUUAGUCAUGGUAUAUACUGUAUGUAUAUAAGCUUUGGUAGUGGAUACCACAUGAUUAUGAUUUUGUGCUUUAGUGAUAGUAAUAAUGACCCUCUUAAUGUUAUAACUUUGUCA